RNAcentral lists this ribosomal RNA (284 nucleotides) under Anaerostipes hadrus ATCC 29173 = JCM 17467. Its description in RNAcentral is "Anaerostipes hadrus DSM 3319 partial 16S ribosomal RNA". It matches the Rfam family "Bacterial small subunit ribosomal RNA", at positions 493 to 776 of the family's 1533-position model. The record is from RNAcentral. Lineage: Bacteria; Bacillati; Bacillota; Clostridia; Lachnospirales; Lachnospiraceae.
UCUUUUCCUUUUUUUCCCGCCGCCGCGGUAAUACGUAGGGGGCAAGCGUUAUCCGGAAUUACUGGGUGUAAAGGGUGCGUAGGUGGUAUGGCAAGUCAGAAGUGAAAACCCAGGGCUUAACUCUGGGACUGCUUUUGAAACUGUCAGACUAGAGUGCAGGAGAGGUAAGCGGAAUUCCUAGUGUAGCGGUGAAAUGCGUAGAUAUUAGGAGGAACAUCAGUGGCGAAGGCGGCUUACUGGACUGAAACUGACACUGAGGCACGAAAGCGUGGGGAGCAAACAGG